This 492-nucleotide ribosomal RNA is filed under the name uncultured bacterium. RNAcentral's name for it is "partial 16S ribosomal RNA". It matches the Rfam family "Bacterial small subunit ribosomal RNA", at positions 29 to 507 of the family's 1533-position model. The record is from RNAcentral.
AGUGAACGCUGGCGGUAGGCCUAACACAUGCAAGUCGAACGGCAGCACAGUAAGAGCUUGCUCUUACGGGUGGCGAGUGGCGGACGGGUGAGGAAUACAUCGGAAUCUACUUUUUCGUGGGGGAUAACGUAGGGAAACUUACGCUAAUACCGCAUACGACCUACGGGUGAAAGCAGGGGAUCUUCGGACCUUGCGCGAUUGAAUGAGCCGAUGUCGGAUUAGCUAGUUGGCGGGGUAAAGGCCCACCAAGGCGACGAUCCGUAGCUGGUCUGAGAGGAUGAUCAGCCACACUGGAACUGAGACACGGUCCAGACUCCUACGGGAGGCAGCAGUGGGGAAUAUUGCACAAUGGGCGCAAGCCUGAUCCAGCCAUACCGCGUGAGUGAAGAAGGCCUUCGGAUUGUAAAGCCCUUUUGUUGGGAAAGAAAAACAGCAGGUUAAUCCCCCGCUGUUCUGACGGUACCCAAAGAAUAAGCACCGGCUAACUUCGUG